This 305-nucleotide ribosomal RNA is filed under the name uncultured bacterium. RNAcentral describes it as "bacterial SSU rRNA". It matches the Rfam family "Bacterial small subunit ribosomal RNA", at positions 333 to 655 of the family's 1533-position model. The record is from RNAcentral.
UUCUGCCUACGGGGCGCAGCAGUGGGGAAUAUUGCACAGUGGGGGAAACCCUGAUGCAGCGACGCCGCGUGAGUGAAGAAGUAUUUCGGUAUGUAAAGCUCUAUCAGCAGGGAAGAAAAUGACGGUACCUGACCAGGAAGCCCCGGCUAACUACGUGCCAGCAGCCGCGGUAAUACGUAGGGGGCAAGCGUUAUCCGGAUUUACUGGGUGUAAAGGGAGCGUAGACGGCUGAGCAAGUCAGAAGUGAAAGCCCGGGGCCCAACCCCGGGACUGCUUUUGAAACUGUUAUUCUAGAGUAUGGGAGA